CGGCCAAGGUGUGAAUGGACACUCCAAGAGAUGCCUUUUGGCUGAAUCGGUACUUAGGAGAUCAAUGGACAGCAACCGAUGCAUGUAAGUGAAUAUUCAUGCAUUCUUCCAUUCAUUGUAUUAAAUCAUUCAUGCAUCAUCCUUACGUUCAUUGAACCAGCCCAUUCAUGAAUCAUCUUUAAUUGCGUUCCCACAUCAUGCAUUGUAAGUAGACGUUCAUGCACCUAGCUUGAAUGAAUCUCCAUAUUCGGCUGUACCUACAUGAAACAUGAACAAAUUAAUUAAAAAUAGAUAUAUUAAUUAACACAUAAAUUUAAAAUAGACAAAUUUAAUAAAGUCUUAAGCUAAACAUAUUAAAUUCAGCUAAGACAACUUUAAAAACAUAAAAUAAAUCAAAACAUAAUUAUGAGCUGUAAUAACUUAAACUAAGUUAAUAAAAUACUUUAAUUAUUCAACCAAUAAAAUAAAUGAGCUGAAUUGUAGCUAAAUUGAGCUCGAUUGAGCUGAAAUGAGCUCAAUUGAGCUGGUCGGAGUUGAAACGAGCUAGAAAAGCUAAAAUGGAGCUGAAAUUAGCUUGCACUAAGGUACAUGGUUUCUUCAAGGAGUUGGAUCGAGCUUCCUCAUCUUCAACAAGCUGAUUCUCCUUCCAAAACUUGAACAACAAAGCUGAAACAACUUCAUGAAAUCGCUUGGACCUAGCUCGGGUCAUUGGUCCCUUUGGAAGCUCGAGGGAAUCAAGACGAGGACUUGAUGGGGCUUGGGGCGUGGUCACAUCACUUUUACCACUCGACCUCAUCUCACAAAUUCGUAAUUCGUCUCGAUAGACUUAAUUUGCUGCUUCAGGGUCGGUUUCAAAAUGGGUUACAAGGGAUAAUGUCGGGUGUAGGGUAGGCUGAAUAAAGAAGAAAAUUGGUUUAAAAUGUGGCGUUGGGAUGGUAAAUAAUGGUAGGAAGGGAAACUUGAUGAUCGGAGUAAUAAGUGAUAAUGAUAAAAACUCGCAAGACUUUUCACUUUUUUUUUUAACUUGAUUUUUUUUGCUCACCUUUUUUUUUUCUUUUCUUUUUUUUUGCUCGAUUUUUUUUCACUUUUUUUUUUGAAAUUUUGUUUUAAUCAAAUUUUUUUUUCGAAUUUUUUUUUGAUUUUUUUUGUUACUCCAAUACAAUAGUAAGCUAAAUACAAGGGAAAAAAAUUAAAUUACAACUCAAAUUUUUUUUGAUUUUUUUUGUUACGAACCUACUCCGAGCUUGAUACGAAUGUCGGCACUCCUCGUUUUAGUAGCUCUGAUACCAAAUGAUGUGAUCCGGCCCGGGUUAAUUGAGUCGAUUCACUUGAUUGCUCGAUCAUCGACGAGAAGUUUGUUCAAACCUAUUCUUUCAAUUCUAUUUUCGAGACCGAGAAACGAACGACUCUUCUCGUCUACGAUCGGGCAACUCGUGAACUCAACUCAAUCAUCAGAGCCGGAUCACAUGAAGAAGGCAAUGAUUUUUUUAUCUUGUUAGUUUCGAAGAAGCACUCUUUGUACAUAAGUACAAGAAUGGGUUGCUUUGCCAACAAUAACUUUCGAAUAUCUCGCUUUCUUGCAAAAACCCUCAUUUUUUUCAUUCUCACUCUCAUUUUCUUUUUCUUUUUCCACUCGUGUUUUUAACUCACUUUUCUCACUUUUUCCAUUCUUUUUCUUUUCAUUCUUUUUAUUUUGCUCUUUUUCUUUUUCUCUUUCAAUGGAUUGUCUCAAUUUGAUUUGAUCUUCAUUUACGUGCUUUGGUGUGAGAAGGGCUAGUGUGACAUUCCUUCCGAGAUGCUUGAAUGAAUAACGAUUCGUGGGGCCAUCAUGAACUACCCGACGGUCAAACUGCCAACGAAUACCCAAUAAAAGGUGUCCCGCAUGCAUCGGCACAACAUCGCAUAUCACCUUGUCUUGAUAUUUUUCGAUGGAAAACGCCACCUUUACUUGCUUAGUAACUUUGAGUUCCCCUUCGUCGUUUAGCCACUGCAACUUAUAAGGAUUCGGAUACUCCAUCAUGGCCAAGCCAAGUCUUUCAACAAGCAUGGUGCCCGUGACGUUGGUGCAACUACCUCCAUCGAUUAUCAAGCUGCACAACUUGAUGUGAUCCGGCCCGGGUUAAUUGAGUCGAUUCACUUGAUUGCCCGAUCGUCGACGAGAAGUUUGUUUGAUUUUGUAGAUAGAUGGAGUUAGAUGAUUUUUUUUAUAGCGGAAGUUGAGAAAAUGGGUUCAAAAGAUGGUUUGGAUAGAUGUUUGAUAGGCUUGGUGAAAUAAAGAAAUAUUGUUUAUAAUUUAAUAGUUAAAAUGGAAUGGAAAAAUAGAACUCAAGCGAAGAACGAUUCAAUACUAUAUGAAGUAUUGCCCCGGGACUUAUAUUGCUCAAGGUGGUUUAAAUGGAUUGUCGAAGAUGGACCUUGACCCGUUACCUAUAGAGAGGUAGGAACCAAAGGUAUAAAAAGGUGGAUGAACGCCACACCAGGAUGGUGAUAAGUUCAAGAAGUCGGGUUGACGCCACUAGUGAGCUAGAUAAGUCAGAACGAGACUCGUACGACAUAGGAUAGGAAGAAACCUCACAAUCAAGUUUUCAAUAAUCAAAUUCUGUCUAACCUUUUUACAAAGAGAAAAGAACUAUUUAUAGAUUACAUUAGAUAGCCAAAUAGACUAAGUAAAUUCGGCUUUAAUUGAAUUAAACUAAUCUAGAAAUGUAUCUUUAAAGGCUAUGUCCAAAUUCGGCUUAAUGGUACUUCAAUGGGCAGCUUCAUGGCUAAGGAAAUGAACUUGAAGGCUUGGUGAAUGUAUGAGAGAGAAAUGGACAUGUCUAGGUUUGACCACCUUUUGGCCGAAUAGGUACUUAGGAGAUCAAUGGACAGCAACCGAUGCAUGUAAGUGAAUAUUCAUGCAUUCUUCCAUUCAUUGUAUUAAAUCAUUCAUGCAUCAUCCUUACGUUCAUUGAACCAGCCCAUUCACGAAUCAUCUUUAAUUGUGUUCCCACAUCAUGCAUUGUAAGUAGACGUUCAUGCACCUAGC
Molecule: long non-coding RNA, 3028 nt
Filed under: Gossypium barbadense (sea-island cotton)
Lineage: Eukaryota; Viridiplantae; Streptophyta; Magnoliopsida; Malvales; Malvaceae
Description: long non-coding RNA (GBAR_LNC011399)
Source: RNAcentral